UGGGGAAUAUUGCACAAUGGGGGAAACCCUGAUGCAGCAACGCCGCGUGAAGGAAGAAGGUUUUCGGAUCGUAAACUUCUAUCAACAGGGACGAAGAAAGUGACGGUACCUGAAUAAGAAGCCCCGGCUAACUACGUGCCAGCAGCCGCGGUAAUACGUAGGGGGCAAGCGUUAUCCGGAAUUACUGGGUGUAAAGGGAGCGUAGGCGGCACGCCAAGCCAGAUGUGAAAGCCCGAGGCUUAACCUCGCGGAUUGCAUUUGGAACUGGCGAGCUAGAGUACAGGAGAGGAAAGCGGAAUUCCUAGUGUAGCGGUGAAAUGCGUAGAUAUUAGGAAGAACACCAGUGGCGAAGGCGGCUUUCUGGACUGAAACUGACGCUGAGGCUCGAAAGCGUGGGGAGCAAACAGG
Molecule: ribosomal RNA, 408 nt
Filed under: uncultured Clostridium sp.
Lineage: Bacteria; Bacillati; Bacillota; Clostridia; Eubacteriales; Clostridiaceae
Also listed under: 1 other name
Description: bacterial SSU rRNA
Rfam family: Bacterial small subunit ribosomal RNA
Source: RNAcentral